Equus asinus (donkey) is the source of this 1724-nucleotide long non-coding RNA. The record is from Ensembl. Lineage: Eukaryota; Metazoa; Chordata; Mammalia; Perissodactyla; Equidae.
UUCCACCUCGAGCAGUGAGGCGGGCAAAAAGGAGGCAUGUCUGCCUUCGUCCACCUUUUGUUGUAUUCAGGCCUCAAUGGAUUGGAUAAUGCCCACGCACCUGGGGAGGGCAAUCUUCCUUACUGCGGCCACCUCCUCAAAUGCCAACCUCCUCCCGCAACACCCUCCCAGACACAAGCAGAAGCCAUGUUUAAUCUGAGCAUCCCGUGGCCAGUCAAGGUCACAUAGAAAAGCCACCACUGUGGUGGGUAGGGCAACACCGUGGACUAUGGCAUGACACUGUUCCCACACCUUCGCCGCCUCCCCACCCCCACCACGCCGAAAAUGACUUUUUCUGUGGGCAGGAUAGGGUUCGCGUUAUUGUGUCCUUCCCAGAGGCACUGUCCACUCUGAGCGUGCAGUCCAUCGAGCCUCAUCCCGUGGCUAUGUGGUCCACCAACCAAGGGAGAGUGCAGUAACCGUCUUGCCAAGAUUGCGAGUGCCAACUUGGGGUCCUUCACACUGUGCCCAGCAAGUACUCCGCGAUCCCAGAGAUGGCAGGAUUCCCCUGAAUCGCCGCUCGGAGGUUUCUUCAUGUCCAUGUCGAAGAGCAAAGGGAAAUUCACAUCGACCGCUGGGGAUGGGAGGAGUGAAGCAUGGAAGGCUUCCUGGAAGAGGAUGGCACGGAGCUAGGCUUGAAGAGCCUGAGUGAUCAAGAUUUCCAAAGUCUGAGAAGACGGGAAACUAAGGAAAAGAUACGUGAAAAGCCUCGAAGCAGAGCUAGGCGUUGAGGGAUGGACAUAGAAGAAGAAAGAAAGAACAAGAAGAGCCAAGAUUUCAGUCAAUAAGCAGAGCCUUGGGACAUGAGCGGGGUUUGCGCUCUUGGAGCUGGAGCGAGUGGCCAGUCUCCCUGUCAAUCGUCGCAGACCCGCCAAUGACGACGUGUGAAGGCGGGGCCAAAGGAACGCUGUCCAGGGAAGCGAAACGCUUGACCGGGCUCUUUAAAAUGUGGAUUGUGCAGCGCGGCUUCCGUGGACCGUUUCCCUCCAGGAUGGGGGAACAUGGCGGCUCCGUCUCCUGCUGUCCCCAAAGUAACAGCUGAAAUCCUGGAAGAGGAGGAGGGAGGCAUCAGGAGGUAUGAAGGAGAGAGCAGCUCUGCACCAGCUUGUUGCUGCUCAUAUCUGCUUGUCAGAGAACCUAAGUAGCCACUGUGCCUCACCUGAUGGAAGACAAAGCAGUAUCAAAGGUUUUCAUCCUAGAAGCAGGGAGCCCAUAAGGCUUUGGCACCUGCAGGAAGCCACCCUGAUUGCAGGGCUUCUGGCACUUUCCAGCCUACUGCUACAUAUAAAUCAUCGAUAAACAUGAGAUUGCAAUUAAGAAGAAACAAAGCACUUUGAAUGAGAGACAGCAGAAGAAAAACAGCCCAAUCAAACCUGAAAGGGCCUCAGAUAUUGAAAAUGUGCGUUAGUCUGAGAAAGGAAUGUACUGCUCCACUCAUUUUGCAGACCUAGAAUGUAAAACUGAUAUCUUGCAUAUGUUUAAAGAAAUAAGAGAAUACUGGAAACAUGAACAAGGAAUAAAGGGCUACCAAAAAUGAUCAGAUUUCUUCUUUCUCUUCUCUCACUGAAAGAUUCAGUCCAAAAGCAAUUAGGUGAGGCCAAGCAAUGUAGGUAUUUGUGUUGGAGGAGCUAGGGUGACCCUGCGUUACGUGAUGUCAGAGCUUGAGCAGGGUGAGCAGAGCAGCC